Non-coding RNA from Camellia sinensis, 795 nucleotides. Lineage: Eukaryota; Viridiplantae; Streptophyta; Magnoliopsida; Ericales; Theaceae. The record is from RefSeq and is a predicted model, not a curated record.
UUCACAGUUGCCUCAGAAUCCGCUUUUAGCACGGGAGGACGUGUUCUUGAUCCAUUUCGCAGCUCUCUAUCACCCUCUAUGGUGGAAGCUCUCAUCUGUGCACAAAAUUGGUUUCGUUCCCCAUCUCAAAUCAGUCUUACAGAUUAAUUGGAAGAAUUGGAGGAGCUUGAUUCAGUACUUAUGGAAGGAACAAGCAAUAAGGAUGUAACUGUUAUUGAUUGAUGCUUGAAAGCAAGGGUCUCUUUUGCUUGCUUAGUUGGAAAGUUCAUGUUGUUGCUGCUUGUCUUAGAUGGUUUCUAUUUUAUGUUUUUGAGUUUUGAGAUUGAUUAAUGGUCUGUAAUAUGUAUUAAGGCUUAGAUUUAGACACAUCGUUUUAUGGUUGGAUUGGAUAUAUGGUUGGUUGAUGGCUUAAACUUGCCUUAGAUGGUUUCUAUUUUAUGUAAUGGUCUGUAAUAUUUAUUAAGGUUUAGAUUUAGACACAUAGUUUUAUGGUUGGAUUAGAUAUAUGGUUGGUUGAUGGCUUAGACUUGGAUUUGGAUACAAGGCUUAAACUUUACGAUUGGAUAUAUGUUAUUUUUCAUUUUUUUGUUGGUAUAUGUUAAUAACAGGGCAGGAGCCUCAAACUUAUGCAAGAAUUACAUAGCUUUAGGCCCACAUUUUAUGCAAAUGGAUAAGAAUAUAGGCCCAAAAUGUGAGGCCCAAACCUAUGCAGGAAUUACAUGGCUUGAGGCCCAAAUUUUAUGCAAAUGGAUAAAAAUAUAGGCCCAAUAUGUGAGGCCCCAAACCUAUGCAGGA